Long non-coding RNA from Trifolium pratense (red clover), 1074 nucleotides. RefSeq lists it as uncharacterized. Lineage: Eukaryota; Viridiplantae; Streptophyta; Magnoliopsida; Fabales; Fabaceae. The transcript is spliced from 3 exons. The record is from RefSeq and is a predicted model, not a curated record.
AUUGAUCCAUUUUCAGUAAAGAAAAGACACUCCAUUUACAUCUUUCUCUCUCUCACGCCUAAGCAACACAAAUCUCACUCCUUUUUCUUUCUCUCUCUCGUUUCUUCAUUUCUUCAAGGAGCAAACACCAACUCAUUUCUUUAAGUUAAUUGCAUGUGAACACCUCUUGCAUAAAUCAUGAAGUUAGAUUGUGAGGACAACAACCCAUGGAAAUAAAAGACAUUUUUAUUUCUCUCUUCCUUUUUGUUUGGCCGCAAACCCUUUUCCAUGGUGUCUAAACCCAAAUUCAAUUUCUUCAUCAUCUAUGAGAAAACUUGCAUGUAUGGUGGUCAUCACUUCCCUCAUGAACUAUUAGUACUUAGUAUUUGGUUUGAGUUGUUGUUGUGCAGAAAGUAAGGUAAGGAACUCACUCUUCAUUUACAAAAGUAUACAUGAGUUUUCUCUUGUUGAAUCCAAACAUUUAAUCUUAACCCCACACAUGAAUAGAUGUUUACCUCUUCAUUUACUUUGAUUGCAUGUGAUGGAUUGAGUAAUUGCAAACUGUGGAUGUUUGGAAAAUCAAGUUGAGGUUAUUAUAAAGAAUCAUUGUUGGUUGAGGAAUGAAUGAAAGACUGUGGAAAUAGAAUUGGAGAAAGUUAGAAUUAGAAAGCUGACAGAAUUACCUUCGUUAUGGUGUCAAAUUCGUGGAAUUUGACUGAGAAUUGAGAUCUGGAGACCAGUUUGAAGUUGAGGGUCUGAUAUGGAAAUUGUGCAGAAAAUUCUGUUUACCGGUUUAAACUGCUUUUGCUGCAAAUUCUGCAUUUCGGCGAGUUCCAGAAAUAUCGAUUGUAUUGUUCAAGCGUCAACUCAGAUAAACAGGUUGAUCGAGAUAUCAUGGUCUGCAUGCAUGAAGUUCAGAUGCUUGGAUUAUGCUAGUUGAGUUGACGUCAUGUUAUCUUAUAUUGUGAAUAAGAUUUAGUUUCUUUAUGUUUUCAGUUGUUAGCUCAAUUUAAUAUUAAUCACUUGGAUUUUUGUAAUCCUAUUUAUGUAUUCGGACGAUAUGUAAUGAAAAUUUAAAGUUUCCCGGUUCAGUUA